AAUUCUCAAAACCCCUUCCUUUGCCGGAAUGGAUUUUGGACUUGGAGGCCUUUUGCUGGUUUCACCUCGAAGCCAGCUCCUCCUAAAUGGAUUAGUGGGGUCUGCUUUGCCGAUCCUUGACGUGAUAAGAUGCUUCUACGUCUCGGGUUAUUGGCACUGUGCCUCUGCUUCUAACCGUCUCUUUUGACAACGAUGGUGUUCCGGUCACCGCCGAUUCUUCGGUGGGAGGCUUGACCCACAAAACGA
RNAcentral lists this unclassified non-coding RNA (246 nucleotides) under uncultured Russula. RNAcentral's name for it is "sequence contains ITS2". Lineage: Eukaryota; Fungi; Basidiomycota; Agaricomycetes; Russulales; Russulaceae. The record is from RNAcentral.